AAGGAUUUAAGUUAAAUAAACUACCAACCUUCAAAGUUGCCAAUAAGAUCUUCUUAAGCCUUG
This 63-nucleotide transfer RNA is filed under the name Asymmetricata circumdata. Its description in RNAcentral is "tRNA-Trp". Lineage: Eukaryota; Metazoa; Arthropoda; Insecta; Coleoptera; Lampyridae. The record is from RNAcentral.